CCUACGGGAGGCUGCAGUGGGGAAUUUUGCGCAAUGGGCGAAAGCCUGACGCAGUAACGCCGCGUGGAGGAUGAAGGCCUUCGGGUCGUAAACUCCUGUCAGGGGGAAAGACAACUAUGUGUCAAAUAGACACAGAGUGAGACGGUACCCCCAAAGGAAGCCCCGGCUAAUUCCGUGCCAGCAGCCGCGGUAAUACGGAAGGGGCAAGCGUUGUUCGGAAUCAUUGGGCGUAAAGGGCGCGUAGGCGGUUUUGUUUGUCCGCUGUGAAAGUCCACGGCUCACCCGUGGAGAGUCGGUGGAAACGGCAAGACUUGAGGCUGGGAGGGGUUGGUGGAAUUCCCUGUGUAGCGGUGAAAUGCGUAGAUACGGGGGAGAACACUCGUGGCGAAGGCGGCCAGCUGGCCCAGUCCUGACGCUGAGGCGCGACAGCGUGGGGAGCA
Molecule: ribosomal RNA, 440 nt
Filed under: uncultured bacterium
Lineage: Bacteria
Description: bacterial SSU rRNA
Rfam family: Bacterial small subunit ribosomal RNA
Source: RNAcentral